UCUUAAUUUCCCACACUCUCUCACCGGUCAGAGAUGCGAGAGAGUACGUGAAAUGAAGAGA
Molecule: non-coding RNA, 61 nt
Organism: Pristionchus pacificus
Lineage: Eukaryota; Metazoa; Nematoda; Chromadorea; Rhabditida; Neodiplogasteridae
Source: Rfam